This 444-nucleotide ribosomal RNA is filed under the name uncultured bacterium. RNAcentral's name for it is "partial 16S ribosomal RNA". It matches the Rfam family "Bacterial small subunit ribosomal RNA", at positions 354 to 796 of the family's 1533-position model. The record is from RNAcentral.
GUAGGGAAUAUUGGGCAAUGGUCGGAAGACUGACCCAGCCAUGCCGCGUGCAGGAAGACGGCCCUCUGGGUUGUAAACUGCUUUUAUCUGGGAAGAAAAAGGCCAUGCGUGGCAAAUUGCCGGUACCAGAUGAAUAAGCACCGGCUAACUCCGUGCCAGCAGCCGCGGUAAUACGGAGGGUGCGAGCGUUGUCCGGAUGUAUUGGGUUUAAAGGGUGCGUAGGCGGCUGAUUAAGUCAGCGGUGAAAGACUUCGGCUUAACCGGAGCAUUGCCGAUGAUACUGGUUGGCUUGAGUGUCGGAGGGGUACAUGGGAUUGAUGGUGUAGCGGUGAAAUGCAUAGAUACCAUCAGGAACACCGAUAGCGAAGGCAUUGUACUGGCCGACAACUGACGCUGAUGCACGAAAGUGUGGGGAUCGAACAGGAUUAGAAACCCGGGUAGUCC